RNAcentral lists this long non-coding RNA (1979 nucleotides) under Homo sapiens (human). RNAcentral's name for it is "HSALNT0266919". The record is from RNAcentral. Lineage: Eukaryota; Metazoa; Chordata; Mammalia; Primates; Hominidae.
CAGACCUCCACAGUGACAUCAUCCGUCAAUAGGCGCUCACCUGCAGACACGUGCAUCCUCACAUAGACAGCCCAGACCCCGUGGAGGCAGGGGAGGAAGUUAAGGUGAGAAUGGACCUGCUGCCGCUCCACAUGGGCCUCCACAAGCUGGUGGUGAACUUCGAGAGCGACAAGCUGAAGGCUGUGAAGGGCUUCCGGAAUGUCAUCAUUGGCCCCGCCUAAGGGACCCCUGCUCCCAGCCUGCUGAGAGCCCCCACCUUGAUCCCAAUCCUUAUCCCAAGCUAGUGAGCAAAAUAUGCCCCUUCUUGGGCCCCAGACCCCAGGGCAGGGUGGGCAGCCUAUGGGGGCUCUCGGAAAUGGAAUGUGCCCCUGGCCCAUCUCAGCCUCCUGAGCCUGUGGGUCCCCACUCACCCCCUUUGCUGUGAGGAAUGCUCUGUGCCAGAAACAGUGGGAGCCCUGACCUUGGCUGACUGGGGCUGGGGUGAGAGAGGAAAGACCUACAUUCCCUCUCCUGCCCAGAUGCCCUUUGGAAAGCCAUUGACCACCCACCAUAUUGUUUGAUCUACUUCAUAGCUCCUUGGAGCAGGCAAAAAAGGGACAGCAUGCCCCUUGGCUGGAUCAGGGAAUCCAGCUCCCUAGACUGCAUCCCGUACCUCUUCCCAUGACUGCACCCAGCUCCAGGGGCCCUUGGGACAGCCAGAGCUGGGUGGGGACAGUGAUAGGCCCAAGGUCCCCUCCACAUCCCAGCAGCCCAAGCUUAAUAGCCCUCCCCCUCAACCUCACCAUUGUGAAGCACCUACUAUGUGCUGGGUGCCUCCCACACUUGCUGGGGCUCACGGGGCCUCCAACCCAUUUAAUCACCAUGGGAAACUGUUGUGGGCGCUGCUUCCAGGAUAAGGAGACUGAGGCUUAGAGAGAGGAGGCAGCCCCCUCCACACCAGUGGCCUCGUGGUUAUUAGCAAGGCUGGGUAAUGUGAAGGCCCAAGAGCAGAGUCUGGGCCUCUGACUCUGAGUCCACUGCUCCAUUUAUAACCCCAGCCUGACCUGAGACUGUCGGAGAGGCUGUCUGGGGCCUUUAUCAAAAAAAGACUCAGCCAAGACAAGGAGGUAGAGAGGGGACUGGGGGACUGGGAGUCAGAGCCCUGGCUGGGUUCAGGUCCCACGUCUGGCCAGGCACUGCCUUCUCCUCUCUGGGCCUUUGUUUCCUUGUUGGUCAGAGGAGUGAUUGAACCAGCUCAUCUCCAAGGAUCCUCUCCACUCCAUGUUUGCAAUGCUUUUAUAUGGCCCAGCCUUGUAAAUAACCACAAGGUCCACUCCCUGCUCCACGAAGCCUUAAGCCAUAGGCCCAGGAUAUUUCUGAGAGUGAAACCAUGACUGUGACCACCUUCUGUCCCCAGCCCUGUCCUGGUUCCUUCCUAUGCCCAGGUACCACCCUUCAGACCCCAGUUCUAGGGGAGAAGAGCCCUGGACACCCCUGCUCUACCCAUGAGCCUGCCCGCUGCAAUGCCUAGACUUCCCAACAGCCUUAGCUGCCAGUGCUGGUCACUAACCAACAAGGUUGGCACCCCAGCUACCCCUUCUUUGCAGGGCUAAGGCCCCCAAACAUAGCCCCUGCCCCGGAGGAAGCUUGGGGAACCCAUGAGUUGUCAGCUUUGACUUUAUCUCCUGCUCUUUCUACAUGACUGGGCCUCCCUUGGGCUGGAAGAAUUGGGGAUUCUCUAUUGGAGGUGAGAUCACAGCCUCCAGGGCCCCCCAAAUCCCAGGGAAGGACUUGGAGAGAAUCAUGCUGUUGCAUUUAGAACUUUCUGCUUUGCACAGGAAAGAGUCACACAAUUAAUCAACAUGUAUAUUUUCUCUAUACAUAGAGCUCUAUUUCUCUACGGUUUUAUAAAAGCCUUGGGUUCCAACCAGGCAGUAGAUGUGCUUCUGAACCGCAAGGAGCAAACACUGAAAUAAAAUAGUUUAUUUUUCACACUCAAA